RNAcentral lists this ribosomal RNA (165 nucleotides) under uncultured bacterium. RNAcentral describes it as "partial 16S rRNA". It matches the Rfam family "Bacterial small subunit ribosomal RNA", at positions 355 to 511 of the family's 1533-position model. The record is from RNAcentral.
UAGGGAAUCUUCGGCAAUGGGGGCGAACCCUGACCGAGCAACGCCGCGUGAGUGAAGAAGGUUUCGGAUCGUAAAGCUCUGUUGUAAGAGAAGAACGUGUGUGAGAGUGGAAGGUUCACACAGUGACGGUAACUUACCAGAAAGGGACGGCUAACUACGUGCCAG